UACGGGGGGGAGCAAGCGUUGUUCGGAUUUACUGGGCGUAAAGGGCGCGUAGGCGGCCAGCACAAGUCAGUUGUGAAAUCUCCGAGCUUAACUCGGAAAGGUCAACUGAUACUGUGCGGCUAGAGUGCAGAAGGGGGCAACUGGAAUUCUUGGUGUAGCGGUGAAAUGCGUAGAUAUCAAGAGGAACACCUGCGGCGAAGGCGGGUUGCUGGGCUGACACUGACGCUGAAGCGCGAAAGCCAGGGGAGCGAACGGG
RNAcentral lists this ribosomal RNA (256 nucleotides) under uncultured bacterium. RNAcentral's name for it is "partial 16S ribosomal RNA". It matches the Rfam family "Bacterial small subunit ribosomal RNA", at positions 524 to 776 of the family's 1533-position model. The record is from RNAcentral.